GAUUCAUCCAUUUGGAAGUCAGAACCGGAACUCCUCACUGAGCUAAGUAGGGUGAUAAGGAGUUUGAAGUGUGCUAUUCGGUUUUCUGAUGCAUACCCAGAUGGUCUAACAGUUUGACUCUGGAGUCAGCGGUGGUAAUGACAGAUUCCAAAUCUCUUCGUUUCCGGUGUUCUUGGACUACUUCUGUGAUGAUGUGAUCCUGCGUUCAGAAGUUUGGACAGUGGCCUCCUGUUUCCCCCGCUUUCUGACUGGCAGAUGUCUCUGGAUUGGCUAGAACACCUGCAGGUGUCUCCUAUGGCUGGCGGCUGGAAUCUGGCUUUCAUCAGUGCUAAAGACCCAACCUCAGGAAGCCCUGCAAAAAGAAUCAGGUGUUGGAGUCUAGCAGUCAUGAACCCUAUUUUGUUCAGAUGGCGAGGAGCUGGUAUUACCAAGAAUGGCAUCUGUAGCAGCUGGUGUGUCCAAUUUAGCCUCAGAAGGAAAAGGGUUGACUUUCUUCCACCAUUGAGAGGUGCAGAGGUUUGGGGAAGAUGAGCUAACCUCUCUUGAGUUUCACCAUCUGUAAAAUGAGGAUGAAUGAAUUUGCCUUGGGCCAGUGAGAUGGCUCAGUGAGUAAAAGCCCUUGCAGCUAAGCCUGAAGACCUGAAUUCCAUCCCUAAGAACUGACUCAUGCAAAUUGUCCUCUGACCUCCAAAUGUGCAUCGUGAGGCUCAUGUGCACUCAAGCACACACUAAAUAAGUAAAUAAACAAACAAAUGUUGUAACAAAAGUAA
Molecule: long non-coding RNA, 770 nt
Organism: Phodopus roborovskii (desert hamster)
Lineage: Eukaryota; Metazoa; Chordata; Mammalia; Rodentia; Cricetidae
Exons: 2
Source: RefSeq, a predicted model, not a curated record